GUCCUGCCUAACCUACCCUAACCUAGCCUAACCCAAAGUUCUGUACAGGUAAUGGAAACAAAUUUAAAGGUACUGCCUAACCUACCCUACCCAAACUUAACCCAACCCAAAGUUCUGUACAGGUAAUGGAAACAAAUUUAAAGGUACUGCCUAACUUAACCUACCCUAACCUAACCUAACCUAACCCAAAGUUCUGUACAAUUAAUGGAAACAAAUUUAAAGGUCCUGCCUAACCUACCCUCACCUAACCCAACCCAAAGUUCUGUACAGGUAAUGGAAACAAAUUUAAAGGUCCUCCCUAACCUUCCUUACCCUAAUUUAACCCAACCCAAAGUUCUGUACAAACCAUGGAAACAAAUUUAAAGGUCCUCCCUAACCUACCCUGCCCUAACUUAACCCAACCCAAAGUUCUGUACAAUUAAUAGAAACAAAUUUAAACGUACUGCCUAACCUUACCUAACCCAAAGUUCUGUACAGGUAAUGGAAACUAAUUUGUAGGUACUGUAACACAAAAAAAGAGAGAGAGAAAAAGUAAAACAUAAGCAGGCGUCUAAUACUAAAAGAGAAACACAUGACUAAAUUAAGACGGUGUUUGUUAAAGCAUUAAACUUAAGCUUUGCGACUUGAUCUUAACCACGCAACUUGAAACCAACUCUUCCGAAGGUGUUUUGUAACGUUGACUAAAUCCCUACGACGAAAAAAAACUUAGCGUGAAGACCAAGUGAAAGAAGAAACAACGAAAUAAAUGAUUGUACUACGAAAAACAGGACCUGAAGGGGAGGGGGAGGAGGGGGUAACUCACUUAAAAAUGAUACGUAUAUUCUAGAAGUCACAUUGAGAAGCUAGAGGUUAUCAACAACGUGUAUAUAGAGGACAUUGAGGAAGAAGUGUUUGUACAGGAGUUUGUUUGUGUGUGUCGCCGCGGGGUCGUUGAUGGUUGAGGCGAGCCCCGGCGACUGUCUGAUCUUACUGGCGAAUGUUGAUAUAAGUUGUUGUAAGAGUUAACUAAUAUAAUGAUGCCUAUUUAAAGUUAUUUUAGCCGGUAGCUCAGAGAAUAGUGAUGUUAAUGCACUAGUACAAAUAUUGAAGACACAUUUAUUAUUAUUAUUAUUAUUAUUAUUAUUAUUAUUAUUAUUAUUAUUAUUAUUAUUAUUAUUAUUAUUAUUAUUAUUAUUAUUAUUAUCAUUCUCCUAUUGACCACUUUGUGAACAUCAUUUAUUUAAAGUACGGUAAGUAAUCAUAUACACUAGAUGCUGCAUUCUUUAUAUAUCUGUAACGUUGUGUGUGUGUGUGUGUGUGUGUGUGUGUGUGUGUGUGUGUGUGUGUGUGUGUGUAUCCGUCGGUGUUCCCACUAAAAAAAACAAAAAAAUCAACCAUGCAAAGAUCUUAUAACGUAUCUCUAAAGCAAGUUGUAUUUAGAAUCACCAGAGAACAACAACAACAAAAAAAUAUCCUACGUGCUCUCAGGAACCUUCAUCUCCCUCCUUCCCAUAGCCUUCCUUCACCCCUAAUGUGUUCUCUUGCCCUCCACACCACCACCCAACUGGCUACACUAACACUAACACCUCAGCAUCACACUCCAUCCUCACCUCACCGUCCACACACACUCACACUCACACACACGUACACUCAAUCUGGCUGUCUCUGUCCUGGGUUUCUCCUCCUCCUCUUCUUCCCUCCCUCCACGUUGUACUGUCUAAGGCUUACUGUUAUCUCUCCUUCUGCUUGCUCCUCGUAUUGUACUUUGUCGACAUCACAUAAAGCGUAGACCCCGUGAACAGACCCAGUCACUCUUGCACUCUUCUUCCUUCCUCUCUCUCUCUCGAUCUUACAGUCUUUCUCCCUCUCUCUCUCUCUUACUCUCUCUAAAGUAAUUGUUUUUUGUACCUUUCUGAAUCACUGCAUCGGUGUGUACCUGUCUUGGAUGUGUUGUUGGUUGGUUUGUAUCAUUGCACGUUUGAGGGUUGAUUUGACGUUGAUUUGGUUAGGGUGGAUGUGCUCACCGAUUUAGUACGCGGUUUUCCUAUUAGUACGCAGAUUAAGGGAAAGGUUAACUAGCCUGGAAACCGAUUGGGGUCUGAAAGUGAACGAUUGUCGAGAUAUUGCAGUGAAGGAAACAUAUCUUGGGCAUAAAAAUGAUUGAGAGGAAGAAAAAAACCGCUAAUCACUGCCGCUAUAAAAUGAGUGAGGUUUGAAAGUGAACGAUUGUCGAGAUAUUACAUUAAAGGAAGCAUCUUAAGGGCAAAAAAUAAAGAGAAAAAAACCGCUAAUCACUGCCGCUAUAAAAUGAUCGAGGUUUGAAAGUGAACGAUUGUCGAGAUAUUACAUUAAAGGAAGCAUCUCAAGGGCAAAAAAUAAAGAGAAAAAAACGCUAAUCACUGCCGCUAUAAAAUGAGUGAGGUUUGAAAGUGAGCGAUUGUCGAGAUAUUACAUUAAAGGAAGCAUCUCAAGGGCAAAAAAUAAAGAGAAAAAAACGCUAAUCACUGCCGCUAUAAAAUGAUCGAGGUUUGAAAGUGAACGAUUGUCGAGAUAUUACAUUAAAGGAAGCAUGUCAAGGGCAAAAAAUAAAGAGAAAAAAACGCUAAUCACUGCCGCUAUAAAAUGAUUGAGGUUUGAAAGUGAACGAUUGUCGAGAUAUUACAUUAAAGGAAGCAUCUUAAGGGCAAAAAAUAAAGAGAAAAAAACGCUAAUCACUCCCGCUAUAAAAAAUGAGUUUAGAAGAAUGUCCAAAAGAAAGGUCAACAAAGAGAUCAACUGAUUACCAAACGUUACAUCGACAACUUUUCACUUCUAAAUACCUCAUCUUCGUUUUCCAGGGCAGUUUUUCUUUAUCUUGUUAUGCGCACUAAGUCAGGAAUACCGCGUACAAAUUGCCGAGCGUGUCCCGAUUUGGUAUGUAAGUCCUUUCUACCUCUACCUGUGUUUGUUUACCUGUCACUGCACACCUGACCUGCACACACCAACCUGUUUCCGUAACCCUAAGUUGUACCAUGGCUGUUGUUGUGGUUGUUGUUGUGGUGGUGGUGGUAGUUAUCACAUAUGUUGUACAGCACAUUUUUAGAUCGUUAACCACUCAUCCGAGGCUUCUUUCUCUCUCUUCCUUCCUUCCUACUUUCCUCCCUCUCUCUCUAUUCCUCCUCCUCCUCCUUUUCUUCUCUCAUCACUCAAGUUAAUUAAUCGCUAAAGCUUAAUAGAAGUUACAUAAUAAGUACACACACACACACACACACACACACACACACACACACACGCAAGCACUCAAAUAAAACUACUGUGAGCAAAAGCGAGGAAUAAAAACUAAAACAAGAUCCACUUCACUAACCUAGCAAAUUAAGCUUAUACGAAAUUAUUCACUAAAACAAAACAAACAACAACAAAAAAAAGAAUAAAGCUGUGCAAAUGAUCAAGGGCAAAAGGUAUACGAUCGUAACUCUAUACAGGCUAAAGCUUCUUCUUAACUACUUGCUAACAGAGAAAUAAAUGUAAUAAUAAUAAUAAUGAUAAUGAUAAUAGUAAUAAUAAUUGUAAAGUACGAUUGUAAGGAAGCUGUUGUGGGACCAUGCAAGGAUUUGGGGGGCGGUAUGUGCGUGUGUGUGUGUGUGUGUGUGUGUGUGUGUGGGUGUGGGUGUGGGUGUGUGUGUGUGUCGCCCCCUCUCCCCUUAGGCCUCUCACCUGUAGGCCUAUAUUUUUAAGUCUUCGUCAGUUUCGUUGUAUUGAAGGGAACUUAAACUAUUCGUGUGUGUGUGUGUGUGUGUGUGUGUGUGUGUGUGUGUGUGUGUGUGUGUGUGUGUGUGUGUGUGUGAUGCAGUAUACUUAUCAAUAUCUUAUGUAUCUAUGUGUACGCAUGCAUGUGUGUGUGUAGGUAUACGCAGACACAUGUGCGUAAAUGUGUGUGCAUGUGUAGGCUGAGGGAAUGCUCUGCUAAGACUAAACACACUCUCUCUCUCUCUCUCUCUCUCUCUCUCUCUCUCUCUCUCUCUCUCUCUCUCUCUCUCUCUCUCUCUCUCUCUCUCUCUCUCUCUCUCCCCCAGUUACGAAUAUCCACAUCACACAUUCACUCUAACGUAAUUAAUUUUCUUAUAUCGAAGGUUUUUCACUAAUUUUAACCUAUUCGUUCAACUUACAUUCAUUUUAUAUUUCUCUGUAUAAGUAACGAAUUUCCUUAUGUCGAAGGUUUUUACACUAAUCUUAAUCUAUUCGUUCAAUGUCAUUCUUCCUCAUUUUAGUUUCACAUUCUCAAAACUCUUACAUUCACUUUAUAUUUCUCUGUAUAAGUAAUGAAUUUCCUUAUAUCGAAGUUUUUACACUAAUCUUAAUCUAUUCGUUCAAUGUCAUUCUUCCUCAUUUUAGUUUCAGAUUCUCAAAACUCUUACAUUCACUUUAUCUUUCUCUGUAUAAGUAACGAAUCUCCUUAUAUCGAAGUUUUUAACACUAGUCUUAACCUAUGCGUUCUUUGACAUUCGUGUGCAGUUUAGUUUAACAUUUUCAUUUACUUCACUUUUGUCUGCAUUUUAAUCUAUUUUUACCGUCACGUGCUGGAUAACCGGUUUCAUUCAUUCAUUUGUACAACAUUUUUUUCUAUCACAAGCUAAAUAUAUGUACACUUUUUUAUGCUCACUGGAGAAUCAAGGUAAUUUUUUUAUAUACAUCACACAUUAGAAAUGACACGUAAAGACUAACUAUUUCUUUAUGCUCGAGUUUUGGGAGACAAGUUUUAAUCUGUCUUAAUUUGUUUGCUCAUUAAUCUCUCCUUUUUUCCUCGGUGUUUCGUUUCUUUUACUAAUUCAAUAUAUCUCAGUCCUUUUUAUAACUUGGAUCUGUUAUUAUAUGUUUUAAGCGGUUUUUCCAAGUGGCUGCGUAAUCGAUUUUGUGUUAUGAAUGAUAUGUUUAAAAUUCUCCUCUAAAAAUCAACGUAUAUAUAAAUUGCAAGUAAUUUUCUACGAUUUUUGAACGGCAUCUUAAUCUCUUUGUCAGUUUAAACCUUUCCAACGCAUUUUUUUUCAUUUUUUUAUUGUCUUUCUCUUGUCCAAACUUUUCAAUGACUUUUACUUCUUUCAAGUUAAUGUACUAAAUAAUGUUUCCUGACACGAGUACGAUGGUUGUUCGAUUAUCCCAAAUAUCCUCUUUUGCGACAUUCUAAACCUCAAAACGAUUUACCUAAUUUCCUGCUAGUCGGGAAAUUAAAGUAUGUACUCUCUCUAAGAUAUAUAUGAAUUACAAAUCGCGCUUCCUUCCACUUCGUCUUUUCGCAAACUAAACAUUUUCUCACGUUCUAGAUUUGCUGUUGUCGUAAAAGUCGUCGUUAUCGCAAACACAAACAUGAACAUUGCUUCCUCGCUGCCCACUCAAGACUUAGCUCCUACCACUUCUUAGCCUACCAGAGAGAAAACAAAACAACGAACAAAGACGAACCUAUAUACAAAUCCUUAACCAACAGCAUAAACACUAGAUUCAGACAUACGCGAAACAAUAUACACGUACUGAUGGAACAAGAAACAAGCUACCGGGCGGAAUUCGGGUCCCUACAUACACACACAAAAAGGAAGAAUCUUAACUAUACCAAACCUUAAUCACUUCGUUAAACGCUACACUCGGACUUGUGCGCGAAAACGUAUACACUGAUAGAUAAGUGAAACGAACUACUGGUAUGAUACACGUUCUUACACAAAAAAGGGAAGAAUCUUAUACCAUUCCUUAAUCAUUUCCAUUAACCGAGUACUUAGGAUACGAGAGAAAGGAUUUACACAGAUAGAAUGAAGGAGAAAUAAGGGAACAGGUAUCAUACGAGUGUCUACACCUUACCAAACAUGGGGAAAACAAAUACAUACCCUUACACACAUUCUUAAUCAGCUCCUUAAACCCUACACUGAGGAAUACGAGAGAAAGGAUGAUAGAUUGAAGGAGAAAUAAGCCAACAGGUAUCAUUCGAGUGCCUAAGCCUUACCAAACAAAGAAAACCAAGAUAUACCUACACACACAUCCUUAAUCAUAUCCAUCAACCCUACACUGAGGAAUACGAGGGAAAGAAUUUACACUGAUAGACUGAAGGAGAAAUAAGCCAACAGGUAUCAUACGAGUGCCUAAACCUUACCAAAGAGGAAGAAAACAAAUACAUACCCUUAAACACAUCCUUAAUCAGCUCCAUAAACCCUACACUGAGGAAUACGAGGGAAAGAAUUUACACUGAUAGACUGAAGGAGAAAUAAGCCAACAGGUAUCAUACGAGUGUUUACACCUUACCAAACAUAGAGAAAACCAAGAUAUACCUACACAAACAUCCUUAAUCAGUUCCAUAAACCCUACACUAAGGAAUACAAGAGAAAGAAUAUACACAGUUAGAUGGGAAAAGCAAGAUGUCAUGUAUAAUUCGAGUGCCUGAACCUUAACAAUCAGAGAGAACUUAGAACACACCCCCUUAAUCCCUUCCACAAGCCUUACACUCCUCUACGAAAUAAAAUAAAAAUAUGCACAAUUAGAUAAAGAAUCAGGCUAACAGGUAUGAUCUAAGUACCUACACUUUACCAACCACAAAUAUAACGAUGGAAGUAACUUUAUACACAUUUUUAACAAACUCUUGAAAUUUUAAACCUAGCUAUGAGCAAAAAGAGGAAUUAAACUGAUAGAGAAAAUUAAAAACAAGCUAACAGGCAUAAUACGAGUUCCUACACUUUACCAACCACAAAAAUAACGAGGGAAGUAACUUUAUACACAUUCCUAAUAAACUCUUGAAAUUUUAAACCUAUCUAUGAGCAAAAAGAGGAAUUAAACUGAUUGAUAAAAUGAGAAAAAGCUAACUGGUAUCGUACGAGUUCCUACAGCUUACCAAACACAAAAAUAAUGAAGAAAUUGAUUUAAUACACAUCCUUAACAUAAACUCUUGAAAUUUUAAACCUAUCUAUGAGCAAAAAGAGGAAUUAAACUGAUAGAGAAAAUGAGAAAAACGCUAACCGAUAUCGUACGAGUUCCUACAGCUUACCAAACUCAAAACUAAUGAAGAAAUACCUUAUACACAUUCUUAAUAAACUCAAAUUUUAAACCUAUCUAUGAGCAAAAAGAGGAAUUAAACUGAUAGAUUGAAUGAGAAAAAAUCUAACAGGUAUAAUUCGAGUUCCUACAGCUUACCAAACACAAAAAUAAUGAAGAAAUACCUUAUACACAUUCUUAAUAAACUCAAAUUUUAAACCUAUCUAUGAGCAAAAAGAGGAAUUAAACUGAUUGAUAGAAUGAGAAAAAAUCUAACAGGUAUAAUACGAGUUCCUACAGCUUACCAAACACAAAAAUAAUGAAGAAAUUGAUUUAUACUCAUCUCUAAAAUAAACUCUUGAAAUAUUAAACUUAUCUAUGAGCAAAAAGAGGAAUUAAACUGAUAGAGAGAAUGAGAAAAAGCUAGCAGGUAUAAUUCGAGUUCCUACAGCUUACCAAACUUAGAAGAUAUUGAUUGAAAUACGUUCAUACACAUUCUUAAUAAACUUAAAUUUUAAACCUAUCUAUGAGCAAAAAGAGGAAUUAAGCUGAUUGAUAGAAUGAAAAACAAACUAACAGGUAUAAUUCGAGUUCCUACAGCUUACCAAACUUAGAAGAUAUUGAUUGAAAUACGUUUAUACACAUUCUUAAUAAACUUAAAAUUUAAACCUAUCUAUGAGCAAAAAGAGGAAUUAAGCUGAUUGAUAGAAUGAAAAACAAGCUAACAGGUAUAAUUCGAGUUCCUACAGCUUACCAAACUUAGAAGAUAUUGGUGGAAAUACCUUUAUACACAUUCUUAAUAAACUCUUGAAAUUUUAAACCUAUCUAUGAGCAAAAAGAUAAUAUACACAAAUAGAUAGAAAGAAAAAAAGAAGCUAACAGGUAUCAUACGAGUUCCUACAGCUUACCAAACUUAUUUAGAACCAACAAAUGCCUAUAUACAGAUCCUUAAUCAACUUCACGAAUCCUACACUUAGUCAAAUGCAGACAGGGUAUACACGAAUAGUUAUAACGAGGGAGAAAUAAGCUAACAGGUAUAAUACAAGUUUCUAGGCCUAUCUCAAACACGAUGGUGGAUGUUAUGUUAUAGUUGUUGUUAGUCAUUAAGCUAGCAGGUAUUGUACGGGUUCCUAGGCCUAACUUAACAUGAUAAUGGGUGUUGUUGUUGUUGUUGUUGUUGUUGUUGUUGUUGUUGUUGUUAAGAAGCUGCCAGGUAUUGUACGUGUUCCUAGGCCUAACUUAACAUAAUGAUGGGUGUUUUUGUUUUGUUGUUGUUGUCGUUGCUAUUAGCGGGUCAGGAGGACAUACACGCCACACUCAUUGGUCUAGGAAGAGGUCACCACCACCAUCACCACCAUCACCACCACCACCACCACCACCACCAUCACCUGCUUCUUCCUGACUCCAAAUGUUUAGUGUUGUGCCCAGGUGGUGUAGGGCAUAAUUAACCUGUCAUUAUUUUGUCCGUAGAUAAUUUUUCCACUUUCCAUUCAUUUUUUUUUUACAACAAAGGAGGCAGCUCAAGGGCACACAAAAAAAACAAUAAUAAAAAAAGCCCGCUACUCGCUGCUCCCAAAAAAGAAUUAAAAGAGGUGGCCGAAAGAAAGAUCAUUGUAGUACUUAUUAUUUUUCUAAUUAUCUUCUUCUUUUGAUUGGUUAAGGAUGAUGUUUUAUCCAUUCAUUUGGACGUUUGUUUGUAUUUUCGCUCUGAAGUUGAUUAAUUUGUUUUUUUGAAGGAAUGUAAGUCUGUUGUUUGGGUUAUCUUGAGUUUAUUUCCUUCUAUUUGUUUUAUUUCCAUCUAUUUUAUUUUUUCUCUUCAUUUUCAGAACUUUAAAAUUCGACCUGUUAUUUCCACUCAUUCAAUCCUCCUCUUCUGCUGUACAUACUUAAACUUACUGGAUUUGUUUAAUUUCUUUUACUUUAAUCCUUUUUUCUAUUCAUUUUCAGAACUUAAAAAUUGACCUGUUAUUUCCACUCGUUCAAUCCUCCUCUUCUGCUUUACCUACUUAUAAACUUUGGGUAUUUGUUCAAUUUCUUUUACUUCCAUUUUUAUUUUUCUAUUCGUUUUCAGAACUUAAAAAUUGACCUGUUAUUUCCACUCGUUCAAUCCUCCUCUUCUGCUUUACCUACUUAUAAACUUUGGGUAUUUGUUCAAUUUCUUUUACUCCCAUUUUUAUUUUUCUAUUCGUUUUCAGGACUCAAAAAUUGACCUGGUAUUUCCACUCGUUCAAUCCUCCUCUUCUGCUGCACAUACUUAUAAGCUUUGGGUAUUUGUUGAAUUUCUUUUACUGCCAUUUUUAUUUUCUAUUCGUUUUAUAAGUUUACAAUCGACCUGUCCUUUCCAUUCUUCCUUUCCUCUUCUACUGUUUUACAUACUUAAGCUUAAGCAAUUUCUUUAACUUCCAUUUUUCAUUUAUUUACUUACAGAACCUUACAAUCGGUCUGUCAUUUCUAUUUGUAUUUAUCCUCUGUACUGUUUUAUAUAUUUAAGUUUAAUGUAUGUGCUCAAUUUCUUUUACUACCAUUUCUUUUUUUAUGUUUACUUACAGAACUUUACAAUCGAUCAAUCACAUCUAUUCGUAUAUAUCCUCUGUACUGUCUCACAUUCUUAGUUUAUAUAUUUUUUUGUGAGUCUUAUUUUAAUUCGUAAAGCUAAUGGUGGAAAUGUGUUCAGUUUCGCAUAACUCUCUCUCGUGUUCUCUUGUUUUUGUUUUGUUUUCGUCGCUAAAACUACAAACAGAUUCUAACGCUACUAAUCAGCCUGGUGUUUAGAUUCGAUCCUUUGUCCGGCGCUAUUUAGCAUUCUUAACUAAAUAUUUUGUGGUGUUUUUUUUCAAGAAUGAUAACCUAUUGAUGGAACUGUCUCUACCUUCAUAUUACUUUCUCUGAUGUGUUUUUUUUUUCAUUUUUAUUUUUAUUUCUCACCUUUCAGACUUCAAAAUCACACUCUGUCAUUGCACUCAUCCAGCUAUUCAGUCUUUUUUUUUUUCAUUUUCCUUGUGACUUUAUUUCUGUUUUCAUGUGUUCACACUUUUAAAGCUUAUUAUUCAUCAACCAGUUUUUACGAUGCAUCAAGUUCUUCGUCUUUUUUUUUUGCGUUCUAAGUCAUUACUAUUUGUGAACUUCUUUUGGGGAAUGUAUAGUUUUUCUUCUUGUUGUGGUGGCAAUGUCUUGAACUUUAAACUUUCUCUCUCCUCUGCGUAUUUUCCAUUCUUAAAAUUGCUAGUAUAUGAUUGUACUCUUUCUCUGUCCUUUCGUAAGUUUUUCCAUUCUUAAAACUGCUGGUAUAUGAUUGUACUCUUUCUCUGUCCUUUCGUAAGUUUUUCCAUUCUUAAAACUGCUAGUAUAUGAUUGUACUUUUUCUCUGUCCUUUUGUAAGUUUUUCCAUUCUUAAAACUGCUAGUAUAUGAUUGUACUCUUUCUCUGUCCUUUCGUAAGUUUUUCCAUUCUUAAAACUGCUAGUAUAUGAUUGUACUCUUUCUCUGUCCUUUUGUAAGUUUUUCCAUUCUUAAAACUGCUAGUAUAUGAUUGUACUCUUUCUCUGUCCUUUCGUAAGUUUUUCCAUUCUUAAAACUGCUGGUAUAUGAUUGUACUUUUUCUCUGUCCUUUUGUAAGUUUUUCCAUUCUUAAAACUACUAUGUAUAUGAUGUACUCUUUAUCUUCUCUUUUCCCUUCUUAAAACUACUAAAAUGUGAUGUACUUUCAAUCUCUCCUCUAUAUUUUCCAUUCUUAAAACUACUAGAAUAUGGUGUACUCUCAAUCACUCCUCUUAUUUUCCCUUCUUAAAACAACUAAAAUAUGAUGUACUCUUUCUUCUCCUUUUUCCAUUCUUAAAACUACUAGAAUAUAAUGUACUUUCAAUCUCUCCUCUUAAUUUCCAUUCUUAAAACUACUUGAAUAUGAUGUACUCUCAAUCUCUCCUCUUAUUUUCCAUUCUUAAAACUACUUGAAUAUGAUGUACUCUCAAUCUCUCUUAUUUCCCUUCUUAUAACAACUCGUAUUGGGUGUAGCAGCCAGAUCCUCUUCCUCCACUCCUCAGUAACUCUACCCCGGAAUGAAUCACUAGUACGCGCACUUAAAACAUUCUACUAUAUAAUUAUUUACAUUCACCGUAUAGUGUAGAGUCCCUUUAAAAUUAGUCGUACUGCUAACCUGUUUUCUUCCUUUUAAAAUGCUUAAUAACUUGCCACUUACUGCUAGAUAUAAUUGUUUCUCUGUCUACAUUUAUCUCUUGGUCUAUGUGUCUUUUUGUCUCUCUUUCUCUCCCUUUCUCCCUCUCUCUCUACCUGUUCACCGUCUACAUAUACGUUCUACCUGUCUGCGUCUCUGCCUACACAACUGCCUACCUUUCUUUACACCUACGAAGUCACAUCUGCCUACCCCGAUAACAGAGAGAAAGCCAGAAUUACAGAUGAGGAGGAGGACUAGGAGAAGGAGGAGGAGGAGGAGGAGGAAGAAGGGCGAUAAUCUGAGUUAAGAGGAAGGGAUAACGAAUUAACAAGCCCUAAACCCUGAUCAUAGCGAGAGAGGGAGAGGAAGAGAGCGAGGGGGGAGGGGAGAAGGGAUUACUUAUCACUAAACUUUCUAACUUAAGUCUGACCGCGAUUCUUUGUGCCUCGCCGCCUCGCCCGCUGUGGCUGAAUUACCUGCCGUAGGAGAGCACCUAAUGAGAUCGAGGUGGCGGCAGAGGAGGAGGCUGCUACACCCGCCUUGUCCGAGUGUACCGAGUGUGAGGGCGGCGGGGAGGGUGUUGAGGUGCCCGCCGCCGUAUGUGAUGUCCAUCGGGUCGCUAUGAUAUGAUUUUGUGUUCUGUUGGUACCGUUUUUUGACUUGUUUCCAUUUUCUUUCUUUGGGUGUCAAGUGUGCGCCGCCGUGAAUCGUGUCCGUCACUACAAUUAAAGAUUUUUGGGGGUUUUAUCGGCACCGUUUUGAUUUGCUUCUGUUUUUCUUUCCUUCUGGCACGUUCACGCUCACUGGUUCUUCCGUUCUCGAUGUUGUUGUUGUUAGUCAUGGUAUGUGGAUGAGCACCAGUGAGUUACCCAGUUCCAGACUCCCACAAGCUCCACCGCCGUCUCCAGUCUUCACCUUCCCUCCCUCCCCUCCCAGAGUCAGUAACCACCCCCCAGGAGCCUCACGCGGUACUUAACAGUGAUCGCUUCUUUCUCGGCGGGUUUUUCGGUCCUGGUGUAAUUUUCUCCGGCAAUUUCCCGGGACUGCCUCUGGCCACGGUCGGUUUGGCCUGUGUCGUCGGCAGCCACUGAGACUCUGCUCCUUCCAUAGGCGGCCACAAGCCCCAUUGACUCCCUAUGAUGAGCCCAAGGAGGGUCGUUGGCUGGCGGAGAGUGACGGGGCUCGCACGCUGUUUUUCUCCUGAUGAACUCCAAUGAACUCCAAUCGAAAUUUCCUUCCCCAAACCCGGCCGUUACAUAAAGAGGAACCUUGUGGCCGCGGACGAGAGGGCGGCAGCGGGCAAGACCUCCUAACCCCGACGUCAUGGGGGAGGUCACGCCCGCCCGGAUCCUCACGCCCGUUGUGCAGCCAGGUGGUAUGGUGCUCUGACAGCCUCCUCGCUUAGUGCCAAUACCAGUGUCUAGCGCCCCGCCCUCCUCACAGGCGUCUCGUCCUCCUCCUUUGCUGUGUUCCUUUCACGCCUUUGUACCGGCGCUCACACCCAUCACCCACCAUCCGAGGACCGCCGCCUCCCCCCGCCUCUACCUAAGCUCACGGGACAACCCACCCCGCCGCGAGGAGGAACAACAACAAUAAUAACAGCGCCAGCAGGAGGAGGAGGACCAGGGCCGCGGGCAUACAGAGGGGGGCGGCGAGGAAGACACGAGGAGCGGCGGUGUUACAUCACGACCGGGCGGCGGCGGCUGUUAGGAAAGACCCCGAAAAACUUACCCCCCCGACCCCCACCUCUUUCUCUUGUUCCCACGCCCACGUCCCCGCCCGCCGCCGCGCCGCUCUUCGCCCCGCCCACCCCAGACUUGGUUCUUUCUUUCCCUCCCCGUGAACCCUUCUUGUCCCCGCACUUUGUUCUUCCGUUAAUGUUGUUGGUUUACUAAUAAGUACUCCCUAACUUAGCUUCUUUCUGUUUCCGAAUUACUUUGUUCUUAACCAUCUUUUCCCCUUUAGUUAGUUAGCUAGUUAGUUGGUUUCUCAUCCUUCCUUUGUUGAGCUUUAAAUUCUUUCUUAUCUUGUUUCUGUGUCCGAAUUUCUUAGUUUUUCUCUUCUUAUCUUUCUCAUACGUGUUUUGUUUCAUCCGCUGAAGUUGAUGUUCCAGUACUUUCUUUCAUAUGUAUUAAUGUCUUCCUAUAUCCUUGUUUUACUCUCAUCUCCCAUCCUUCCUUUGUUUCAUCCCCGAACGUUGAUUUUCACACAUAUAAACUUUUUUCGAUACUUUUUUUUGGUCUUCGUUCCCCUUCAACUCAAGUGAUCGUCCCCAUAUCCUCUCGCCAUUGGAAAAGAAAAAAAAAUGUAUAUAAAAACAAUAAAGUCUAUCCUUGUCUUCCUAACCAGCCUCCUCACGUCCGUUCAUCAGUGUCAGAAAUCAUAGAACAAGUCUGCUGUUAUUUUUUUUCUUUCCAACUCCUGUCGAGAAAAAUAUAUUGUUGAAAUUGUCUUUGUGGCAUAACCUGUUUUUCUCCUUUAAAUUUAUUGAGUUUGUGUAUCACUGGAACGCUGAUUUUUUUUUUUUUUUUGAGAGUGAAGAAAAAUAGAGAAUUACACCUCCUUCUUUUCUUUCUCCUCCUCCUCCUCCUCCUGCUCCUCCUCCUCUUUCUCCUCUUCUUCCUCCUCCUCUUUCUCCUCCUCCUCCUCCUCCUCCUCUUUCUCCAGUACGGUUCCUUUGUUUUGUCUACGAAUGCAUCUUACUGAUUUUGAUCUCACGAUGUAUAAAAUAAAAAAAAUAUAUAAAAAGGUGUUACACGACUAUUUCCCUCCUAAUAUUUUUUUUAAGUCAAUUUCUUGUUUUGUCGAAACUGAAAAAUAGAGAAAAAAAAGCUACUCCGAUUUUUUUCUUUUAUACUGUACAAACUUCUUUCAUCAUCGUCAUCAUCAUCAACAUCACGUCUUCACACACCAACAUUUCCUUCACUUUUUUUUUUUUAAUUUUACUCAAUGUCCUUUUCUUUCUUUGUUUCAGAAAGGUGAGUGCGUGUCCUUGGAGUCGAUGUGUGGAGAAUAUGCAGCAUUUGGGUGAGUACAGCUGUGCAUUUGUCCAUCUAUUUAUUUGUGCUUGUGUAUGUCAUUGCAUGCGACAAUUUUGCGUGGGAGGAAAAUAAGGAAGGAAGGAAAAUAUAUUAAGCAAAGGGAUAAGAAAGGAAGGAAGGAGUAGGAAUGUUGGGAACUGAAUGGAAGGGAAUGGAGGAAGUAGGAAGAUGAGGGGAACUGACGAGAUAGUGGAAGGGAAGGGAAGGGGACUGAUGGGUGAGGGAGGAAGGGAAUGUAGAAAGUAGGAAGGGCAAGGAAGGGAAGGGAGAAAGUAGGAAGGGAGUAAGACUAGGGGAUGAGGGGAACGGAAGGGAAGGGAUGGAAGGUUUGGGUAAGCGAUAAGGUAUAGAAGGGGACUGAAGGGUAAGGGAAAGGGAAGGGAAGGGAAAGGAAGGGUAAGAAAUAGAUAAACCAGAAACGGAAAGGAGCUAAAAGGGAGAGGAAAUAGGAAAGAAUGAUUACCACUGUGUUGUUAUUACGAAGCACCCAAAUUAUACAGCUUACGAAAGUUCCUGCAUUUGAAUGAACUGGAUGGACUCAGGAAGUGAAGGGAGAAGCUGUAGAUAGACACGAGAAAUGGUCACGAAGAUUAGUAAAGCGACUCUUCUUAUUUCUGCGCCAUUGGGAAGAAAAAAUGGGAGUGAGAAAACGAAAAAAAAUGGGAGCUGGAGAAAAUGGAAGUCGUGCGUUGUUAAGUCCGUUUUCUUUGUGCUUUUUUGUUGCGAGUGCGUGGAAAAUGAGAAAAGGUUAUGCGUUUUGUGCGUUUUCUUUGUUUUCAGAUGUCAGUGCGUGUAGAAAAUGGGAAAAUGUGAGUUUAGUCCGUUUUCUUUGAGUUGUCGUUUACGAGUGCUGAGGAAAAUGGGAAGUGGAUAAGUAUAGUCCGUUUUUUUUGUUAUCUGUUGCGAGUGCGUGUAGAAAAUGGGAAGAGGGUGAGUUUAAACCGUUUUCUUUGUUAUCUGUUGCGAGUGCGCGGAGAAAAUGGGAAGUGGGUGUGAGUUAAGUCCGUUUUCUUUGUGUUUUCGGCUACCAGUGCGCGUGAUCAUUCUGUGAAGUUGGACACUUUAUAACGAAGAAAGAAAAUAAGGAAAAAGAAUGGUGUGUUAUUCUCUCUCUCUCUCUCUCUCUCUCUCUCUCUCUCUCUCUCUCUCUCUCUCUCUCUCUCUCCCCCCCAGUGUCAGUGAGGCGUGUAAGAGAGGCGUUACGAGCCUAAUUGUUUGCUAAAAAAUUGGUCGCAGAAAGUGAGGCAACUCGAGGACAAUUGGCAACACUGCGGAGGAAAGUUAGAGCGGAAAAAGUGUCUUAAUUUGGCGCAGAGAGAGAGAGAGAGAGAGAGAGAGAGAGAGAGAGAGAGAGAGAGGGAGAGGGAGAGGGAGAUAUGAAUUAAAGAGAUUCUGUUGAAGUUCUUCGCUAUGUUUAUAUUUUUUGUCUAAAGAAUUAAUUUUUUGGAUAGGUAAAGACGGAUAAAAAUAGAUAGAUAGAUAGAUAGAGAGAGAGAGUGUAUGUGUGUGUGUGUGUGUGUGUGUGUGUGUGUGUGUAUGUGUGUAUAUCAGUAUCUAAAGAAUUAUUUUUUUGGAUAGGUAAAGACAGAUAUAGAUAGAUAGAUAGAUAGAGAGAGAGAGUGUAUGUGUGUGUAUGUCAAUAUCUUUGGUUAUCCGAAAUCACUCACUACUAAACACUGGUCCGUUACUUCGUCUCAUCGUCAACAUUACAUAAUUUAUCUACUCCUAAUAAGUACUGUAUAGAUAUUUUUUUCCUUUUAUUUAUUUCUCUGCGUGAUGGGUCGAGUCUCGCGUGUAACAUUGCCAUAAUCUGAUGUCUGUGUGUUGGAUAGGUCAGACUAAGACGUAGGAAUUAGUCAUCUUUGGGUUAAUCUUUGGAGGAGGAGGAGGAAGAGGAGGAGGAGGAGGAGGAGAAAUGAAGGAUAAUCAUAAUAACCAGGAAAUACUUCUCUUGUCAUGGACGUUGUGUUACCUAGCCUACAUAUCUAUUGUUUUUGUUUGUUUUGUUUUCUAUUGACUUAUUAUGCUUGAGGGAAGGAGGGAGGUGAAGGGAAGUAAGGGAGGUUCUAGUCCUUUGGUUAAGUUGGGUAAGGGCGUAAGGGAGAAUCUAGAGAGGUGGAAGGGAAGGGAGAUGGACCGGGGGGAAGAAUGAGGUUUUCGAUUCCUUUGGUUGGCAGGGAGGGAGGUUCGGAAGGGUGGAAGGGGGUUGGGUCAGGGAGGUUAUAGUGCUUUGGUUUACUUCGGUGAGGGUGGAGGGGAAGAGAUAUGGAAAGGGUGGAAUGGUAAGGAAUAACAAGCCUUCCGAUUCCCUUAGUUGUGUGUGUGUGUGUGGGGGGGAAGGGGAGAUUUUAUAAGUCCUUUGGUACACUUAGUUGGGUUGGAAUGGAAGGGAUGGAUGAGAGAGGUGGAAGAUUGAGUAAGGAUGCAACACAGGGGUUUAAAUUCCCUUGCUUGACGGCGGAGCUUGGAUGUGGGCGAAGGGGUCGAGGAGGAAGGGGGGGUUAGAUUCUAUAAGUCCUUUGCUUCACUUAGUUGGGUUGGAAUGGAAGGGGAGAGAUGGGAACGUUGGAAGAGUGAGUGAGGAUGCAACACAAGGCUUUCGAUUCCCUUCGUUGACGGCGGAGCUUGGAUGUGAGCGAAGGGGUCGAGGGAGGAGGAACGAGGCGGAGGAGGUUGCGGGGUGUUGGUAUUAUAGGAACCCUGAAUGGAGAUGUAAUUUAUGAUUUGAUCCCCGAGGCUGGAGGCUUAAUAGAUGCGUGUAUGCUCCAGCGGGCAGGGGUCGGGAAGUGAGGCUGAGGCGGCGGUGGCUGUAAUAAUGACGGAGAGGCGGGAGGGAGGGAGAUAUAAGGGAUGCUGGAGAGGGAGAUGCAGAGUAAUGAGAAAGGAUAGAAGGAGGGAGAAAGGGAGGUAGAGGGAGGUGAAGAGCCUGUGAGGUGAAGGGAGAACUAAAGAAGGAAAGUAAUGAUACGUACUACUGAAAAUAAGGGAGGGAGGGAGAGGAAGGGAGAAAUUAGAGAUGCAAUAUAGGAAAGGAGGUACGGAGUUAUGAGAAAGAAGAGAGGGAGAAAGGGAGAAGUGUCUAAAGGGAGGGAAAGGAAAAAUAAAGAAGGAAAAUGAGGAAAUAAGGAGAAAGAAUAGAGAUAGGAAGACACAGAGAAAUGAAGAGUGGGUAGGAGAGGGUGAAUAAAGAGGAAAAGAAGGAAAACACAAAGAAGGAAAAUGGAGGAAGGGAGAUUUGUACUACUGAAAACAAAUAAGGAAAGAAAAUAAUAAAAAAAGGAAGAAAAAGGUCAAAUUGAUUGCAGAAAGAGGAAAAAAGAAAAGGAGGAGGAGGAGGAGGAGGACAAAAACGCCUGGGUUGAAAAAAAGAAAACGGGAAGGAUAUUGAGGUUCUGACAACAUUUUCUCCUGAGGUCAUACUGAAUACUUUUUGGGGGUUGGUUGUUUGGGUAAUUUCCAGUGUGAUUCUCGCGGCGUUCAUUCUAUCUGUGUCUGUCUCUGAUUCUAUAAUACGAGGGAUGAUUCAAUACUGGUUACCUGCAUACCGUAAGUCACCUUCGAACAUAGACUCAUAUCAUCAAACGCUUCAGACUCUUGUUACGAUCAUUUAUUAAGGUCACAGAGAAGAUACAUCGGGUUGCCAUGAGUGUUUCCCCCGUUCAUGGCGCAGAGGUCUUAUCAAGCUACCACCAGGGUCCAGAAACCACCCCCAUGGCAACCCCGGCAACUUCUACAAGAGCCUUCUCAAAUUGACGUGUACCAAGGUUCCAAAGAGCUUGAUAACAUGGGUCUAAGAAUACUCGGGUGCUUUUGGUUUGGUCUACACGGCUUGUCCUCUACCAGGGUCUGUUUUGUGGAAUUCUAUAUCGUUUGAGGUCUUCAGGUCGGAGUUCAUUUGCUAGGGAGGUCUUGUAUGGUCUAAAGGUUGGCUGGCUAUCUCUUGUCUGCGAGGUUUUGUUUCUAUAUUCUGUCUACAUUUGAGGUUUUUUCGAGAAGCAGCUUUUCUACAUAUGGGGGACUACACUAUGGGAUUGGGUGUGUAUAUACGAUUCGAUCUCUUUCAGUACUAGGUAUAAGGUGUUAGAACUUCUGUGUAUGGUGUCCUUCUCUCUUCUGUGACCUCUGUGGCGCUGUGUCUUGUGGUUUCCAAUAGGGUGUUCCUCUACUUAUGGAAACUAUCACUAUGGGACUGGGUGUCUAUAUAGGAUUGGAUCUCUUAUAGUGUCAGAUGGUGGGCUUCUAUAAGGUAUCAAGUCCUUUGUGCGUGGUGUGUCUUUGUCUACAUAUGGGGACUAUCACUAUGGGACUGGAUGUCUAUAUAGGGAAUUGGAUCCUUUUCAGUGUCUCGUAGUGGGCUUGUAGAGGGUAUCUGAUCCUCUCUGUACGGUGUCUUUGUCUCGUGUGGUCUCUGUGGCGCUCUAUCUUUGGCAACUCUACAUCUAUGGGAGCUCUUUCUCUACGGGGAUGUGUAAAUAUACGCGUUUUAUGUCAUAGCUAAUAGUGUUUUUUUUUAUUUUAGGUCCUAUCUCGGCUUCUACCAGUGGCGAGGGGUGUGUUAUAUACCUUUCCUAGGGGGCACUAUUUUAAAGGGUGUUGGUAACCUCUAUCGCUGUGGUGGUGGGAGUGGCGAGUUGUAAGGAGACUGGACGGUAGGAAGGAAGGGUGAAGAGAUGGUAGAGAGGAAGUUGGGUAGGUAAAGAGGUUGGGUAGUGGUAAUCUUGUAACACUGGGGUAGAUAAGUGUGCAGAAGAGGAAGGAAAAAGUGCGCGGAGGAGGAAAAGAUUAACUUGAGUUGUGAAGUGAAGGCAAGAUAUGAUAAAGACAUGUAUAGAAGAGGGAGAAACUACAACACGGAGGGGGGAAAAGGGGAACAAGUGAGGACGAGGGGGCAGAGAGCAUGAGACUACAGGACGGAUCUAUUUCUUUGCCGCGAGGGAAGGCGUGGCAAAGCGCUUUCUCUUUGGCCUGUCCUUAUCUUUGGGGGCUGCGCUUUUCUUUGGCCCGGCUACGUGUGUGUGUGUGUGUGUGUGUGUGUGAGUGAGAGACAGAGAGAGAUGACUACUAAGCAUGCAGAGAACGUUGCUUAAGUAAGGUCGUAAUUCACAAAGGUCAUGAUUCUCAGUUUAAUGCGGAAAGUUAAGUGGCAGAUUCAUCCCGACGCACGCACACACACACACACACACGCACACACAAAAAAAAAGAAAGAUUUGUGUUUUAAAAGUCAAGCGUCACGACUCCACAGAACUACGCGCUGACGUUUUUAUUAAGAACUCUGGUAAAAGGGAAAUGUGCAGAAGGAGGAGGAGGAGGAAGAAGAGGGGGAGGAUGGUGUUGGUGUUGAUGGUGAUGAAGGUGGAGGAGGAGAAGGUGGAAGAUAUAAAAAGAAGCGGUUUUUUUUUUUUCCAGCGGGCUUUUUUUUCAUUAUUUUUUUUUACGCCCUUAAACUGUCUCUUCUGCUGUAAAAAAAAAAAAAGAAAAGAAAGUUGAUUAGUGUUUUCCAUAGUCGUAAAUUCUAGUCCAUUCUGUAUUUUCCUCUUUCUCCAUUUUCACGAGUAAACUAUUUUUUUUUUUUACAUCUUUCCCGUGUACCGCCUUAUUUACUUCAUCUUUUCCCGUGCAAACUUUUCCUGUCGUCUAUUAUUUUUUUCUUUUUUUCUCUCUCAACUACAACUUUACCCUUUCAUGAAUAGCUAUUUUUCUUUUCUUCCUUUUUUUUUCUUCUCCCUGUCUCGGUUUCCUUUCCUGAGUGAUUUACGAACGAGAGUAGAUUGUUGUGUACGUGUGUGUGUGUGUGUGUGUGUGUGUGUGUGUGUGUGUGUGUGUGUGUGUGUGUGUGUGUGUGUGUGUGUGUGUGUGUGUGUGUAUGUAUAAAGUUAUUCAUUUUCUCAUAGUCACAGCUCUGGCGUUGAAAGAUUCUUCAUAAUUCAUAAUGGCUAACACAGCCUAUGCUUAUGUACUUUUUUUUUGGAUCAGAUUUUUUGUUUAUAUAUAUCAUACACUUACACAUAUUUUGCCCUCCCUCUUUCUCAAAACACUAAAUUUAUAAUAACACAGUGCUUAAGAUUGUUCACGUCCUGCAGGUAACUCAAAACAAAAGAAGAAAGACACAAGCGAAAUUGCAGAAAAAUAUACGCAAAAACAAAAUACAAAAGGAAGCGUGAAGGACAAAAAACUUUGGAAAACGCAAAUGCAUGAGUCUACCCUGAAGUGUUCCCUGAAGGACGCGAAGUGGGGAGAGUUACCAACCCUCGUUAUGAGCGGCGACAUGACCCGGCCCGGAGAACUCACCUCACUCAUCCUCUAUAUCACAUGUUAUCGCUUCUCGCAGCUGUAACGAUGGAAGAAAUAGGUGACUCUAGCUACAAGAUACUUUGGUCCCCUUAGAUACGUUUUUCAUAGUUUCCCAUCCCUUAUUUUCACUGCCUUUUGUUUUUUUCACGAACUCUUUUCUCCCUUCGUCUUUGGCACAUGCCCCGGGCCGUUCACUCUUUCUGCGCAUCUCAUAGCGGGGUGUGAGGCAACUCCUGUGUGUGUUUGUGUGUUGGUUGGUCUCUCACGCACGCACGGAACUCGAGAUAGGGGGCGUCAGGGCAGUUAGAGUCAUUCACACUUAAAGCUGUAGGGCACCUUCUCUCAGUAUCACCGCUGCCGCCGACUCGCCUCCCCCCUCGGCUAUACCUACACGCUUCUUUAAGAGUUAGUAAUCGUGGACCCAGAUUGCCGAGACCAUUUACACGUUGGCUCCCGCGGGUCAUAUCCUCCCAACAUUCAUUUCCCCCUCUCAUAUAUUUUUUUUUACCGCAAAGGAGACAGCACAAGGGCACACACAAAAAGGAAACGAUAUAAAAAGCCCGCUAUUCGCUGCUCCUGUAAAGAAUCUGAAGAGGUGGCCGAAAGAGCAGUCAAUUACGUGAGAAGAGGUGUCCUGAUAACUGAUAUGUAACCUUUAGCUAAUAUAUGAGAGGGAGAGACAGAUGUUGAGACUGUAUGGCAAAACGCGGUACCCAAAACGGUCCCCCCAAUCUGGUUCCACGAUAGUUAGUAAUCAUCUGCCAUCACAAUAGGAAUACAUCAUCAUUUGCUUAGUGUAGCACAUACUGUUGUUGCUGUGGUUGGUUGACGUUGUAAUAAUAGUAAUAGUUGUUGUUGUAGAUGAAGUUGUUGUGGUUUUUAUUUGUGGGGCGGGGCUUCAGCGACGACCGGAAGAUGCAAACGUCUAUGCUUUAUUUUUUUUGUAUUUUUUUUCUUUGUUAUCGUUUGUUGUCCUCUUUAUCACGUGGAGUGGCGGCGAAGGCUAUCAGGAAGACCCCGGCUACCUGCGUGUGUGUUAGCGACCAAUACGGAGGGGCGGGGAAAGAAAGAGAUCAUUAACGCUAUCACUAAACAACUGGGAGACUUUUAGAGAUCUAGCAACAUCUCACGAGCCAGUGGGAGACCAUGGGAGAGAUCACGCGAGAACGGCACUGACCGACUGAAGGAGGGAGGACUGGCGGACAGGGGGGCAAGAAGAGAGGGCGUACGGGAAUCCCACUGACCAAGGAGAGGCCUGGAGAGAUCAAGCCCCCAGGUAACCGGUGGAUUAGGACAUCGGGCAGGUGGAGGACGAGCACACCAACACACUGACAAACAAAAAGCCAAAAAAAAAGCCUAAAAUCGACAGGGUUCCGAAGUCUUCCUGAGCACCUUCGAAGAUCAUGGUUUUGCUGCGUGGAAUCUGAGCUCCGUAAGGCACCAGCAUAUCUGUGUACUGGAGGCAGCCGCGCCGCGCCCCACCCCGCUUAUCGGCACCAUUUGAUCACAGAUACGACCCCGGAGGACGACAAACAGGGCGGCCCCGCGGGAGGUGAGAGACACAGCCCUGGUAACAUUGGGGUAUCGGGGGUGGAAGAGGGGUGGAGGAGGAGGAGGAGGAGGAGGAGGUGGAAGAGAAUAGGAGUGAGAUGCAAGAGACUAGGAGGUGGAAAAGGGUAUGGGAGAAUGUGGAAGAGGGUAAAAGGAGGAGGUGGAAGAUUAGGAGGAGCUGCAAGAGAGUAGGAAGAGGUUUAAUAGGGUAGGAGGAAGUGGAAGACAGCAGGAGGAGGAGGAGGUGGAAAAGGAUAGAGAAAGACGGUGGAACAUGGUAGGAGUGGAACCCAUCUAUGAACAAGCCUUGGGAACACCUGACUCAAGGGAACACGUGACUGGGGUAUGUGUGGGAGGGGAGUGACGUGUGUGCGUGUGUGUGUAUGUGUGUGCAGGUGGAUGCAGGCUGGCCAGGUGCAUUACGUGUGUGUGUGUGUGGAUGUGUUUGUGUGUGAGAGAAGGUUGUUUGGACUUGAAUGAGAAACGACCACGUGACACACUUUUCUUGGACCAGACAUGUGUUGAGUGAAAGGCCGACCAGCUGUGAGGCCACGGACGUCACGAAGAGGAGGAGGAGGAGGAGAAGAAGGAAAGGAAGUGGUAGCUAGGGCAGGGACGACACAGAGAAGGAAAGAAGGAGGAGGAGAAAGUAGGAAAGAAGAAAUGAGAUAACUCGGAGGGUCAACACAAAUAGUAAGAGGAGGAGACGGAGGAAGGGAGGGAAGGGGGGGAUGCUAGCUCGCGCGUGUAAGGAAAGAGAGAAAAAACACAGACUCACAAGGAGGGAAGGAAAUGAGCGAAAUUGAGGUUAAUAACACACACUGAUACCCAAAGGAGAGGGAGAGAACCGCACGAGAAGGGGAGGACAAAAAUAUAGUGUCUUCGAAGGAGGGGACAAAGGAAAGGAAAGAUAAGGGAGAGGAGGACAUACCCGGCACUAGUGAAGGAAGGAGGAUCUUGGAAGGGAAGGGAAACGUUGGGGGAUGGACAGGAAAGGAAAGAGGGGCAAAAAAUAAAGGGUUGGUGAGAGGAAGCUAGACUCGGCACUACUGAAGGAGGGAGGAUCUUGGAACGGAGGGGAAGGAAGGGUCGAGGUGGACGCGUGUGAUGGGCCGCGACUCUCACUCAGCGGAUGAGGUCAGAAGCGUCGUAAAUAUUAUAAUGAAGGACGUAUAACAAGUCCGCGGGGGCUCGUCCUGGGGUGCCGCCGCCUCGCUUGGGUCCCUGGGUAUUAUUAUUAUUAUUAUUAUUAUUAUUAUUAUUAUUAUUAUUAUUAUUAUUAUUAUUAUUAUUAUUAUUAUUAUUAUUAUCACAUGUACAAUAGGAUGAAAAGCAGAUUGAUGUCGACCUGAUGAAAUAGUAGUAGUAAUAGUAAUAGUAGUAGUAGUAGUAGUAGUAGUAGUAGUAGUAGUAGUAAGUAUGAGUCUCCUGAACAGUUAAAACGAACGUGUAUCCUUAACUAUUUAUAUUUACUUUGAAUCACUUUAUUCAGCUAUCUAUUUCCCGGCGGCGGGGCGUCAGGAAAGAUGUGCGCGAGGCCGCCCCGCCGCGUGCACAAUGAGGUGUUGGUGCAUAUAUCACGUGUGUACAGAGGCUGACCGCCGCGCCCUGACCUAGAGGCAGCACGCUUGACGCAACUCCAGUGUCGUUCCUUUGUACCUGAAUAACGAAUGACUGAACGAGCGUGGACCAAUCAGACGGCCUUAUCCCUUGACCCAAAAGGAGUGGGGAUGGAUGGGGAAGGAGGAGGAAGAAGAGGGUGGUGAGUGAAGUGUAAGUUAAGUCUGUGUGAUAAGAUUAACGCCUGCCGCCGCGUCUGUACUCUCUCCUGACUUGUAUUUUGUACCGAACACGACCUGAAAGACGCUGUUUGUGGGGGUGUGUGCCAACAGUGCCAAGGGUUAGUGUCACGCGCCGCUAUGACCUAUUUGUAAUCAUCUAUGACUGUACACCACAAAGCGUCCUAAACAUACACAGCCGCCCGCCUCGCAGCCCCCUCGACGCCGGCACCGCGGGAGGAAGAGGAGGCGGAGGAGAAGGUUGCAAAGGGAAGGGAAAGGAGAUGAGACUUCGGGAGGAAAAGGAGGGGGAAGGAAAGGUUUUGGUGAUGCUUAGGGAAAGGAGAAAGGAAGGAGAUGAAGGCGUAGAAUGAGAGAAGGAAAGAAGGAAAGCAGGGAAGAUAAUGGAAAUGGACAAGGAAAGGAGGGAAAGGAGAGAGAAAGAUGAAGGCCUCGAUACUGACUGACUAAGAGGAAACAAACUCGCAUAAGGAGAAAAGGAGGAAAAAGGGAGAGAAACUGACUGGAAUAGGAAGGAAAGAAAGGAGGAAAGAAGGGAGAGUGAUUAUGCAGGGGGAAAGGAGAGGAGAGAAAAAGGAGAUGAAGACCCAAGCGACCAACUGACUCACUGGAGGCUCUUGUAGGGGGAAUAUAGGAGCGAAAAACGGGCCAAGAGAAAACGGGGCAGUACAGCAUCUUCAAAGGGGGACUCAAGGGAAGCGCUGCCGGGGUCGGUUUCGGGGUGCGAGGUGGCGGCUGUUCGCACCACGCAACUACACACGAUGGCCCGCGCGGAACGGACAAGUAUUGACGAUAUUCCAAAACGGACAUCAAAUUACACUGGACCGGUGCUUUAUAUAGUUUUUUUUGUUCGAGUUUGUUGACUGAUUGCUUCUUACGGCGGGGACUGCGUGGGGGGGCGGUGGUGGGGGUGGAGGGGGCAGAAGGGGUGGUGUGGACUGGAUGUUCUGCUCUUUGUUUUCCUCCUCUUCUUCCACUCUUCCAUCUUCUAUCUCCUAACUCCUCUGUCUCCCUCUUCCUCCUCCUCUUCUUCCACUCUUUCAUCUUCUAUCUCCUAACUCCUUUGUCUUCUUCUUCUUCCUCCUACCUCUUCUUCCAUGGUUCCUUCCUUUCUUCCUACCUCUAGAUUCUUUGUCCGCCUUCUCCUACUCUUUUCUUCUUCUACUGUUCCUUUCUUCUUCCUCCUUCUUCUUCUAACUCCUUUGUCUUCCUCCUCCUCCUUCCUCUACUGUUCCUUCCUUGCUUCCUACUUCUAAAUUCUUUGUCCUCCUUCGCCUUCUCUUUCUUCUUCUGUUCCUUUUUUUUUCUUCCUCCUUCUUCUUCUAACUCCUUUGUCUUCCUUCUCCUCCUCCUUCAUCCACUGCUCCUUUCUUCCUUCUCCUUUUGGCUCCUUUCUUCACCAUUCUCACUACCAUCAUCACCAUCGUCACCACUAAUACUGUCAUCACCACUACCUUGAUCUUAACCACAUCACCACCAUCAUCAUCAUCACCACACUACCAUCACCACUACCACCACAUCGUCAUCACCAACCACCACUGUUUGCUUCGUGAUCUUUUCGACACCACCACCACCACCACCACCACCAUCAUCACCACCACUACCAUUGCCUAACCACCACACUAUCCUCUCCAUCACAUCAAAUCAACCACCACCACCAUUACUACUGCCCUAACUCCCCUACCACACUGCCACCAUUGCCCCUACCACCACCACCGCCACCACCACAGCCACGAGCCUCGCCGUGGAGAAGAGUCUAUGGAGGAUGUGCUGGAGUGAUGAAGUAACGAGCGAACGAGUCUGGCGGGUCUAUUGCGGUUUUGUUGUGUGCUGGUGGAAGUCAAACGGAACGAGUAACCGAUCAAAGAAAACUAGUAAUUUGAAUCUCCUCGUCAGGGGGAAACGAGAAACAACACAAUUCGCUGAGGUAGCUGUUGUCGCCAAGCAAGAGUUUACUAACAAUAGGGAGUGUAAGCGAGUGUCUGGGUGUGCGUGUGAGUGUAGGUGUGUGUGUUAACGUAUAUAUGUGUGUGUGCGUGUGUGUGUGUGUGUGUUCCGAGGUAUAUGCAUCAUCUAGUUAUUAGUAUCAUUACGACUUACUCCUUUUGUGUCCCGUUGAGGUUAUUAGAGGUUUAGUUAUGCCUGCUAUCACAUCGUUGGCUUUUACUAUAACAUACAUCAUCGUUAGCUUCAUCAGAAUCGCAUAGGAAGAGUUGAGGCGGUCUUUCGGGUGUGAGAUAGUAGAGUUUUUGAGGUUCUGUUCGUGGUAAGGCUUUGAGGGGGGUGGGGGUGGGAAUGAUAGGUUGAAAGACAUGUAUGGCGUCACACCCCGGGACAGCCACACCCGUGACGCCACACCAGAGGACAAACACAAGUACGAAUGACGCCACACUUCACCCCGGGACAAGGAAACGCUUGGCACUGUGCACACCGCCGUCACUGCUCGGUCUGAGGGGGGGCGCGGAGGGCUCGCCGGGGGGGACGUGUCUCAUCAUAUCUGUACCGACACCAUGAACGUUAACGGCGGAGGAGGGGGAUACAGAAAGCCAUAAAAGAGGAAAAAAAGGAAAAUUCAAAGAUAAGAAGGAAAGGAGAACGGCGGAACGAGGAGGAAAGCAAUAGAAAAGGAGGAACGUCAACGCGGAUAGGAAAGAAAAAAAAUGAGAAAGGGCAUGGAGGAGGGGGAUACAGAAAGCCAUAAAAGAGGAAAAAAAGGAAAAUUCAAAAAUAAGAAGGAAAGGAGAACGGCGCAAAUAGGAGGAAAGCAAAACAAAAGCAGGAACAUCAACGCGGAUGGGAAAGAAAAUAAAAAGAUGAGAAAGGGCUUGAAAAAACUUAUCACUCUUAAUAUGCCUGACUAUUAGAAGGUGAGAGAAGGAAAACGUUGAGAACCAUUAGAGGCGGCACACGGAAACUAAAAAAAAAAGGAAAGAAAAGAUAAAGACAUAAAAUACAAACAUUGGAAGCGAACUGAGGCUUUCCUGAGUCAUCAAAACCUGAAGAAAGUGGAAAAAGGAAGUCUUAAAAUCCCUGACGAACUUGAGGCGAAUAACACACUCUUUAAUCCCUGACAAAAUGACGUUAAAAAAAGCUAAGUACGAGAGACUUAAAGAAAAACUACAACAUGAAGCUUAGAAGGAAAAGGCAAAGCUGUCUUAAGAAACGGCUAAACUAAGGGAGGUAAACAAGAAAAACAAGGAAAACAAGUUAAUGCAAGCAGGUGAAGGGGUGGGGGGGAGGAGGAGAGGUUGUGGUGGUGGUGGUGGCGACACACACACACACACACACACACACACACACACACACCACUCCACCCAGACACUCAACCGAACGGAGCGAACACGGGAAAAGGGAAGUGAAAAGAAGCGAAGAUCAAAUAAAAAAAAAGGGAGGAGGAGGAGAAAGGGCGAAAAAUAAGGCGAGGAGAGGCGAUAAAUUUCCAGUGCGAGGACAUGUAUAGUGGGGGGCGAGGCCGCGAUCCUUUGAGACGCGCGGCCUUCCCGUACACCGAAGUGGAAAAUCUCUGAAGUGAAUUAUGUCGCAAAGGGCCUGCGGAGGAGGUCGUAGUCUGAGACGCGGCCGACUCUCCCCCAUCAAUUAUUUUUAAAGGCCAAAAAAAAAGGCAAUAUGCGUUCUCAUCAGUGUUUUUUGGAGCUCAUAUUAAAGAAGAAGGGUCAAACUACCACUAGGGUCAUGAAGCUACCCAUGGAAAGCUACACAACUUCUAGGAAAGCCAUGUCAAAUGUUAGUAUUGUGGCGACUCAUAAUAAUUUUUCUAUAGGCCAAAACAAGAGGUACAAUCCGUUCUUAUUAGUGUUUUUUAGAGUUCACGCUACAGAGGAAGAGUCAAACUACCACUUGGGUCAUAAAGCUACCCAUGGAAAGCCCCACAACUCCUAGGAAAGCCAUGUCAAAUGUUAGCUAGUGUUGUUGGGACGAAAUCAUGACUCAUAUGAAUAUUUUUUCUAUAGUCCAAAAAAUGAGGUAAAAUCCGUUCUUAUGACUGUUUUUAAGAGUUCACGCUACAGAAGAAGGGUCAAACUACCACUGGGGGCCAAAAACUACCCCUGGAAAGCCCCACAACACCUACGAAAGCCAUGUCAACUAGGUAUAUAUGUGUGUGUGUGUGUGUGUUUAGGCGACGGAAGGCUUAGAAAUAUGGCAUCUGACUCUCCCCAGCCUCCCGAACCGUGAGAUCUGACGCUGUUAUCUCUCCAAAUAUACAUAAUAAGAGUUCUCCUCGACGCUCUGAGGCGGGGACGGAGAGACUAUAGAUCACUGCGUCCCAUUCAGACGAGCCCCCCGCGCUAUAGACGACGAAACCCGAUCCUAUCACAGAGAAGGACACGUAAGCGCUCUCAUCCGAUGUUGCCGAUGCUCGAGUGUUUUUGUGUUGUGUGAAAUAAGGGAAGGGGAAGGAGGGGAGGGUUAGGGGGAAGGGAUGUGAGGUUUUAUUUGUUUAAUAUUUCCAUUGGUGUGUAUUUUUUCUCCUCUCUUUUUGCGGAUUCUUCGUUGGUUGAGAAUAGUGAAGGAAGGUAAGUUAGGUUAGGUUAGGCUAGGUUAGGAAUGGUGUGACUUGUAAUAGUAGUAGUAAUAAUAGUGGUAGUAGUAGUAGUAGUAGUAGUAAUAGGAGGAGGAGGAGGAAUAGUAGUAGUAGUAGUUGUUGUUAUUGCUGGUUUUGUUAUUAUUGUAGUAGUAGGAAUAUGGAAUGAUGUAGGCCGUUCAUAUAUUUCCCUAUACGGUCUUAUUAUGUGCCUUUAUUCGCUUCUUUGGUCGGAUAAGAGAGGAGUCGUGCAUCGGGCGUGGAGGGGCGCCCAUACUCUACUCCGCCUGGGGUCAGAAACCAUCAGCAACGAAGCCCCCGCCUACUACCCUCCUACCUGACAACCAGAAGCCAGAUUUUGCGUAACCCCCCAUCGAUCAACUACCCACCGAUUACCAGCACCAGAGUAGCCAUCCCCUCCCUCUGUCACGUUAGGGAGGACUCCUUUACUGACGUGUUCGAACCUUUGGCGGGGUAGAGUAUAGUUGCCCCAUCGAACCCUUAAUAUCUACACAUCUUCUUGCUUCGCCUUGCACACUCCACUGAUCUGCCUGGAUACCCUUACAACACUGAAACUCGCUUGGAAAACUGUAUUGCCUGUUUCUGUAUUGGUCCAGCGGCGCCCACGUGAGGCUAGGAUUAUAGGGGGAUGGGGUAUGUAUGGAUAUGUGUAUGGAUAUGUGUAUGUAUGGAUGUAUGUGUGUGUGUGUGUGUGUGUGUGUACUUCCAUGGCUAUGUGAGUUGGGGUUAUAUGCAUUGGUGUUGUUGUCGUUGCUGCUGCUGUUGUUGUUUUCGAGUGCCUAUGGUUAUGAUGGUUGUGGAGAUGGUGACCUAAGUGCCGCCCCUUGAGAGCCACCCCGGGGCCUUGUACUGGUGGAUCCUGGUACCCUGAGAGACCAUCACGUCCCCUCUGAGUGAACACAUAUUGUACAGCGCGAUCCUCAUUUUUUUUGUCUUUUUUAUGUUUUUUUCCCACUUAUGACACUCCAGUUUUCCCUUUCAAAGCCCGAGGCGUCUUAGAAUGACCUUAUCGAUCACCCGUGUGCCUUAGCCUACUCUCCUUAGGUCUACUUUUAUGCUUAUGUCAGUGAGUGGGGGAGGAGGCGGCUCGGCAGGAGGGGUAGUGAAGGGGGGGCCGCGUGUGUCAAGGGGCGUGGGAGUGACAGCCUCGUGGGUCGGUAGGCUCACGUGACCGCCGAGGCGCCGUCCCCGUCAGCGGCAGGGCGUCUGGUGAUGGGCUCCCUCCCUCAUACCUCAUCCAGCCUGAGUGAGGAGCCCCAUUUUGAGGCGGUCAGCCAAUCAGGGAACGCGUCUCGGCGGAGCAAUCAGGAAGCCAACUCACCCAUAAGGAAUGUCUACGGCCCUCAGCCCCCUGCCCUCCCCUCCCCCCAGGCCUCCCCCUCGUCCCCCUCGGGCUUUAAAAGGGGACAAAUCUCGUUAGGAAAUCCUUUGAGGGAAAGAUGAGUGAAGGGUGAAGCAGCGCCCUCCAGCCUUGACCCGACGUCCCCGCGGGCCUCGCUGUUAACCCACACAACACACCAUCGCCAGGGCACGCACACACGCCUAGUACCACACCCCGCACGCCACACGCCGCACCCACCACGCCCUACAGGUUCGAGGCCGAGGAACAUACACUCGAAGCACAGCGCGGCCCAGCGGGGAAGGUGUAAGAAAUAGCUACACGGCUGCACAUUAGAGGGACAAGCCUGACGGUCGCUGAGGUUGUAAUAUGGGUCACUCAGAGGUUUGUGUGUGAUGUGGUAUUCCUUUCAGCUAUUGGUUAGUUAGUACGGAGAAUAGCAAUGGCAAAGAAGUCCUGUUGUUAUAUAUAUUUGCUUGAUGUUAGUGAAUGUUGUCGGGUUUGUUUAUGUUGUUGUUCAUGUUGUUGGUUAUGUUGUUGGUUGGUACCGCGAGUUCAUACGAGUUUGUCAAUGAGAUCCCCAUCUUACGCCGUUCUCAAUAUACGCAAAGGUAAACAAACAGGAGUAAAUACGCGGAAAAGGGAGACAGGAGGUUUUGUUACGCAUCCUUACACAUUAAAGCGAAGAUAUAGACAGACAGACACACACACAGACAGACGUGCCUUGACUCAUCUAGACAGCGAUAUAUAUUUUUUUGUUUGCAUUUUUUUUAUGGUUUGAUUUUUAUAAUAUAUUGUUUCUCCUUGGUUCUUCUUCUGCUUCUUCCCUCCUUCCUGCCUUCUGCUUCUUGCCUCCUCACUGAGUCCGAAUGUAUUGUGCGUUAAGUGGUAAUCUAUCUCGAGAUCGUCUAUGCUCUCUGAAGAAAGGAAAGAGAAGGAACUUAACACGUGAUGACUGACUUGAAGCGUCCCCUUGAAAAAGUAAAUAGGAACCUCGAUUUUCGCAAGAAGCUAAACAGUAAGUAAAGAAAAAGGAACAUCGGUGGUAUUUGCGUUACUUAUAAGCUGGUGAAGAAAAGUAAGAAAAAGGAAGAAGCGAGUGAUGGAGUAAGUAAAGAAAAAAAGGAACAUCGGUGGUAUUAGCAUGACUUCUGAGCUGGUGAAGAAAAGUAAAUCAAAGGAAAAAAGUAACUAUCUCCAAGAAGUAAAUGAAAGUAAGUGAAGUAAAUGGAUUCUCGGUGGUAUCUGCAUGACUUUUAAACUGGUGAGGAAAAGUAAAUCAAAGGAAAAAGUAACUAUCUCCAAGAAGUAAGUGAAAGAGUAAUUGAAGUAAAUGGAUUCUCGGUGGUAUCUGCAUGACUUUUAAACUGGUGAGGAAAAGUAAAUCAAAGGAAAAAGUAACUAUCUCCAAGAAGUAAAUGAAAGUAAGUGAAGUAAAGGGAUUCUCGGUGGUAUCUGCAUGACUUUUAAACUGGUGAGGAAAAGUAAAUCAAAGGAAAAAGUAACUAUCUCCAAGACGUAAAUGAAAGAGUAAUUGAAGUAAAGGGAUAAUCGGUGGUAUUCGCAUGACUUUUAAUCAGGUUAAGAAGAGUAAGAAAAAGGAAAAAGGAGUUAUUCGCAAGAUGUAAAUGAGAGUAGGUUGAGAAAAGGGAACAUCGGUGGUAUUCUAGUGACUUUUAAGCCGGUGAAGAAGAGGAAGAGAAAGGGUUAGAAAGAGUUAGGGGCGCUCUGUAAUGGAACCUAAACAAAACGAUACAAGACAUAGGAAAUCAAGACCUAUCCCUAAUUGAUGUUGUUAGGUUAAGUCAAGUUAGGUUUGGUUAGAAAAAAAGAAAAUGGAAACUAAGACCUAUCCAUAAGUGAUGUUAAGUUCAGUUUAGGUUAAGUUAGGUUAGGUUAGGGUCGCUACUAAGGGCGCUCUGAUAAGGUUUGGGGACACGCCGAUACGAGAGCCAGCAUAGAGAUAACGAGGC
Eriocheir sinensis (Chinese mitten crab) is the source of this 31691-nucleotide long non-coding RNA. RefSeq lists it as uncharacterized. The transcript is spliced from 5 exons. Lineage: Eukaryota; Metazoa; Arthropoda; Malacostraca; Decapoda; Varunidae. The record is from RefSeq and is a predicted model, not a curated record.